Molecule: ribosomal RNA, 469 nt
Filed under: uncultured bacterium
Lineage: Bacteria
Description: partial 16S ribosomal RNA
Rfam family: Bacterial small subunit ribosomal RNA
Source: RNAcentral
GGACGAACGCUGGCGGCGUGCUUAACACAUGCAAGUCGAACGGAAAGGCCCUGCUUUUGUGGGGUGCUCGAGUGGCGAACGGGUGAGUAACACGUGAGUAACCUGCCCUUGACUUUGGGAUAACUUCAGGAAACUGGGGCUAAUACCGGAUAGGAGCUCCUGCUGCAUGGUGGGGGUUGGAAAGUUUCGGCGGUUGGGGAUGGACUCGCGGCUUAUCAGCUUGUUGGUGGGGUAGUGGCUUACCAAGGCUUUGACGGGUAGCCGGCCUGAGAGGGUGACCGGCCACAUUGGGACUGAGAUACGGCCCAGACUCCUACGGGAGGCAGCAGUGGGGAAUAUUGCACAAUGGGCGGAAGCCUGAUGCAGCAACGCCGCGUGCGGGAUGACGGCUUUCGGGUUGUAAACCGCUUUCGCCUGUGACGAAGCGUGAGUGACGGUAAUGGGUAAAGAAGCACCGGCUAACUACGUG